This 569-nucleotide ribosomal RNA is filed under the name uncultured bacterium. RNAcentral's name for it is "partial 16S ribosomal RNA". It matches the Rfam family "Bacterial small subunit ribosomal RNA", at positions 355 to 914 of the family's 1533-position model. The record is from RNAcentral.
UAGGGAAUCUUCCGCAAUGGGCGAAAGCCUGACGGAGCAACGCCGCGUGAGUGAUGAAGGUCUUCGGAUCGUAAAACUCUGUUAUUAGGGAAGAACAAAUGUGUAAGUAACUAUGCACGUCUUGACGGUACCUAAUCAGAAAGCCACGGCUAACUACGUGCCAGCAGCCGCGGUAAUACGUAGGUGGCAAGCGUUAUCCGGAAUUAUUGGGCGUAAAGCGCGCGUAGGCGGUUUUUUAAGUCUGAUGUGAAAGCCCGACGGCUCAACCGUGGAGGGUCAUUGGAAACUGGAAAGCUUGAGUGCAGAAGAGGAAAGUGGAAUUCCAUGUGUAGCGGUGAAAUGCGCAGAGAUACGGAGGAACACCAGUGGCGAAGGCGACUUUCUGGUCUGUAACUGACGCUGAUGUGCGAAAGCGUGGGGAUCAAACAGGAUUAGAUACCCUGGUAGUCCACGCCGUAAACGAUGAGUGCUAAGUGUUAGGGGGUUUCCGCCCCUUAGUGCUGCAGCUAACGCAUUAAGCACUCCGCCUGGGGAGUACGACCGCAAGGUUGAAACUCAAAUGAAUUGAC